AGAGAGCGAAAGAGAGAGAGAAAGCACAGUCGAAACAUAGAGAGAGGGAGAUAGCGAAAGUGAGCUAGAGAGAGUGGUGAUUCCGUUUUGCUGUGAGGAGGAAGAAGAUCUGCUUCUUGGAUAGCUCUACCGUCUACCUUUUGGGGGUAUUGUUCGGUUUUGCUGUGAGGAGAUGAGGGAUUUGGGUAUAGGGUUGUGAUCGAUACUUAGUUUUUGGGAUUCAUGGCUACUAAUUAUUCGCUGUUAGAGAUGAAUUUUAGCCCUGGAUAAAGGCUUGAUAGAGGUUGGCUUUAUGUUUGAUGAGAGCUCAUCAAACCUUUUUCUGUUUGGGAUUUUGUUGAAACAAAGAAAAGAAAAGAAGAAGAACAAGAAGAGGAAGAAGAAAAGGGAAAUCGAGUAAAUUGAUCAUCCCAGGGAUUUCCAUAAGCAUACCAAAAGAAGCAGCUAAUACAGUUCGAGAAGAAUCUUAGAACUUAGAAAAGAGCACAUCAGUUGAUAGCAGAAAAGGUAACAGUAGCUAAACCAGUAGGAAUGUAUAAAACAGUGCUUACAGACUUAAUGAUAUUACUAUUUGCUGAUACCUUUUUGCCAUGUGCAUACUAUUUGGAUCAAUCUUUUAUUUUUGGAUCAAUCCGAGCACAAACUAUUUGGUUUUGUAUUCGCUUAAUUUCUGUUUUCGAUGUAAAUGUAGGUCAUGCUUCUUAUCAGAAUUGGUCUAAUCUAUGGGAUUUGGUCAAUUUCAGUGGGUGGUUCUUUUAUUUUUUUUGGGUUUUGUCUUAUUGCAUGUGAUUAUGUGAAAUUUGUUCAUAGUUUCUUUUAGUGUUGUUCGUGUUUUUAGUUGGUAGCCUAGCAUCUACCUAUUAAUAGUUUUAUACUGUGCUAACAAUUGAAAGUUGGAACCUUUUUAAUUAUUAAAUCAAAUGAAAGUCAUUCUGGUGUCUGUUAUCUAAUGUACUUGAUUGGCAUCAAAUUUUUGGACAAUUAGAUUAGUUUGUUCCAAACAA
Rosa chinensis is the source of this 1004-nucleotide long non-coding RNA. RefSeq lists it as uncharacterized. NCBI's taxonomy places the organism in Eukaryota, Viridiplantae, Streptophyta, Magnoliopsida, Rosales, Rosaceae. The transcript has 4 exons. The record is from RefSeq and is a predicted model, not a curated record.